RNAcentral lists this small nucleolar RNA (229 nucleotides) under Solanum tuberosum (potato). Its description in RNAcentral is "snoRNA Plant_U3". It matches the Rfam family "Plant small nucleolar RNA U3". From Rfam's summary of the family: Small nucleolar RNAs (snoRNAs) are involved in the processing and modification of rRNA in the nucleolus. The record is from Rfam by way of RNAcentral. Lineage: Eukaryota; Viridiplantae; Streptophyta; Magnoliopsida; Solanales; Solanaceae.
AUGGCCUUACCUGAACAGCAUCUGUUCUAUUGGCUCAUACUACUAUAUCCUUGAGUUCUGAGGAAACAUGAAAGUAGGACACCAAGUCUGGUUGAUGAAGCAUGGUCAUGUGACUAGAGCGUGAUUCACAGCCUCCUUCCAUGGCUCCUAGUUGUGUGGGGCAGUAGUAGAUGAUCGUUCUUAGACCUCCUCUCAGGUCUUAGAUGGUCUCAUGGCUGUCUGACAGACU